GGCUCUCUGCGACUCCGCCUCUCACAGAGUCACAAUCGGUCUUCCUCAGUCCUCACCUCUGCGGCUCUGCCUCUCAGCUCUCACAAGUCACAAUCGGUCUCUUGCGUCUCUGUCCCAGCCUCCCAAGUACACCAGGGUGGUCUUGAUUGGCGACUCCGGCGUCGGCAAGUCCAAUCUCCUCUCCAGCUGUCAAUGAUGUGCUGAAUGAGGUUCUCCCUUUCUUGACCAAACAUCCUGAGAGUCCUGCAAAGGUUCAGACUCCUAGCAGCCAACCAACUGCAGGGAAAAAAAUUUGAAGAUGGAGGAAUGGAGGAGCAGCUGCAUGGCAGCAAUAGCAUGGAGCAGCUGCAUGUCUUUUUAAACUGCUCUUGUUGUCUUGUUGAACAUUGUUUCGGUUUUUAAUUUGUUAUGUUGUUAAGACAAUAUGUGUUGGUGAACUUGCUGUGUAAUUGUGUUGGUUGCUUGCUUUGAAUGGUUAUUUGCAAGAUGGAUUUAUUUGCAACCUUGCUGCUACAUUGCAGCAAUGUUGCUGGUUCAUAG
This 540-nucleotide long non-coding RNA is filed under the name Rosa chinensis. RNAcentral describes it as "sRNA RchiOBHm_Chr1g0364161". Lineage: Eukaryota; Viridiplantae; Streptophyta; Magnoliopsida; Rosales; Rosaceae. The record is from RNAcentral.